GCUAAUGGGAAAAAGGAAAUUGAUAUGAGCUUUACAAGGUUUGACAUGAAGCCGGAUGGAUGUUGCAGACCCGGAAAAGCUGAAAUCCAAGGCUUCAUAAGCACGAAGCCUUAUGACUGCCUGUAUAGGUAAAGUAGCCAGAUAAAUACACACUCUAAUAGUAUUGAUAAAAAAUUAUUCUGUACUUACCUAAAAAUAUCUCUUCACCUCUGUAGACUGCAUUUUCUGAGAGGUACCUCUGAUUCCCCAUAGGCCCAUAAUUUAAAAUGCAAAUGUCCUAGCUUAUCCAAUUGUUGUUCUUUCUUACUCUUUAUAAGCUCAAAAUAUAGAGAAACUAAUCCUUUGGGAAAAAAAUCACAAGAUUUAGAGUAAAAAAUGGAUCUAUCAAGUGCACUACCUGAUUGACAUUGGGCAAAUUAACUUACCUCUAUCAAUAUGUAUAACAUAGAGAACAUACUGUCUUCUGUAUAAUAGUAUAUGAAAGCUACUGUUGUAUUCAGUAGUACAAAAGCAGUGUUUGUAAGGUUAGGUGGACCUUCGAAGGAAAACAGCAAUAAUCGUGUGGCAUAAGGCCUUUACUGGGUGGGCAAGAGAAGGUGUACUACAGUAGACAAAGUCAAAAGAAAUUGGGAUUGCCAGAGAGAGACCAGGGUUGUGCCAGGAGUGAGGGCAGAAGCUAGUUUCACAAAGAAUACAUUGCAACUUCCAAAGUCACAUGCACUCUGCCCCAUUUAUUUUAUUUUUAUUUUGGACCAAUGUGUCUCAUACAGUGAUCAUGAAGGACUGAGUUAUGCCAUCAUUUGAUUAACAUGGAGCUCCAGUCUCUGACAUUAUGGGACAUGGAUGAAUCUGGAGAACAUCAUUCUCAGCAAACUGACACAAGAACAGAAAAUGAAACACUGCAUAUUCUCACUCAUAGGCGGGUGAUGAAAAAUGAGAACACAUGGACACAGGGAGGGGAGUACUAAACACUGGGGUCUACUGGGGGGAAAAGGGGAGGGCCAGAGGGAGGGGGUGGUGGGGAGCGAUAGCGUGGGGAGAAAUGCCAAAUGUGGGUGAAGGUGAUCUUUAAAAACACUGGAAAAUUGGUCAGCUGCUUAUCAAAAGGUUGUAACAAAAAUUAACAAAAGUAAAAAUAGAAUAAUAAUCUGUGGGAUGUUUG
This 1162-nucleotide long non-coding RNA is filed under the name Callithrix jacchus (white-tufted-ear marmoset). RNAcentral describes it as "lncRNA (ENSCJAG00000070266.1)". Lineage: Eukaryota; Metazoa; Chordata; Mammalia; Primates; Cebidae. The record is from RNAcentral.